This 253-nucleotide ribosomal RNA is filed under the name uncultured prokaryote. RNAcentral's name for it is "partial 16S ribosomal RNA". It matches the Rfam family "Bacterial small subunit ribosomal RNA", at positions 524 to 776 of the family's 1533-position model. The record is from RNAcentral.
UACGUAGGUGGCGAGCGUUGUCCGGAUUUAUUGGGUUUAAAGGGUGCGUAGGCGGCCCUAUAAGUCAGUGCUGAAAUAUCCCGGCUUAACCGGGAGGGUGGCAUUGAUACUGUAGGGCUUGAGUAAAGUUGAGGUUGGCGGAAUUGACGGUGUAGCGGUGAAAUGUGUAGAGAUCGGGAGGAACACCGGUGGCGAAGGCGGGUCUCUGGGCAUUUCCUGACGCUGAGGCGCGAAAGCGUGGGGAGCAAACGGG